CCUUCUCAAACACCCCAUCUUUUGUUAGGUGGAUGUGUUUGGUGGUGAGUGAUACUCUGCUCUUGAGUUAGCUUGAAAGUGUGAGCCCAUGGGCUGCUCUGCUGAGGCGGAAGUCGUGCUAGGUAAAUCCAACUCGACGCUACGCAUAUCGGUGACAGCGGUCUCGGCGAACAGACACAUCAAC
RNAcentral lists this unclassified non-coding RNA (184 nucleotides) under uncultured Zygosaccharomyces. RNAcentral describes it as "sequence contains ITS2". Lineage: Eukaryota; Fungi; Ascomycota; Saccharomycetes; Saccharomycetales; Saccharomycetaceae. The record is from RNAcentral.